This 30-nucleotide ribosomal RNA is filed under the name Meliosma peytonii. RNAcentral describes it as "partial 18S ribosomal RNA". The record is from RNAcentral. Lineage: Eukaryota; Viridiplantae; Streptophyta; Magnoliopsida; Proteales; Sabiaceae.
UCCGUAGGUGAACCUGCGGAAAGGUCAUUG